Molecule: long non-coding RNA, 3150 nt
Organism: Papaver somniferum (opium poppy)
Lineage: Eukaryota; Viridiplantae; Streptophyta; Magnoliopsida; Ranunculales; Papaveraceae
Exons: 2
Source: RefSeq, a predicted model, not a curated record
UUCUGGAAAAUAAAUAUAAAAACGAAAGGAAGAGGGGACUGAGAGUUUAGCCAGAUUUUCUUUUCCUUCACUGCUUUUGUUCGGUCACCCUCUUAGAAAAGAGAAAAUUUUAGAAUAUUAGGGUCUUGCAAUCGACGGAGCUAAGUUAGGAAGAUUGUGGAGAUCGUUAUUGUUGCUUGUUGAUUUAAUGAUGGGUUGGAGGAAUUUCUCUUUUCCGUUUGAAGAAAUUUGAUUUGAGGCAAGUGAUUUACACUCAAUUGAUCGGUGUGAUUUCUAUCGGUACAUGGGUUUGUGCUAUUGCGAUUGACGAGUGUGUUAAACAGUGUUUGUGGAAGUGUCGGAACUAUGGUUCGGUUGAAGUUGUGUGUAUGCGAACUAGCUCUUGGUGACUUGAUUAUGGUGGAGUUAUCAAGUGUCAUGGAACUAACAGCGGUAUCGGUACGUGAUUUCGAUAAUUUUGCUGUUGGCUAAUUUGUAUUGGCUUGACAUGAAAGGUAGUAUUGGCUUGACAUGAAAGGUAAAUCUAGGAUUAGGACUAUUUAUACUUUACGUUACCGCAAGUGUUGAUAUGGUUAAUGAUAGUGAUAUACUGUGUGAACGUUUUACAUUGGCUGGUACCUUGGCUAAUCAUAUCUCAAAUUAUAUGUUUACAGAACUUAAGCUAUCUAGCACUUGGUAUAUAUUAAUGUAUAAUUCUUUGACCAAUCUAUCUUACUACGUGGACGACUGCGAGAUGGUAUGUAAUUGUUGCAUUUCAUCUCAGUUCACUUGCUGGGUAACAAAACUAUUCUCAUUUCCUUGUAAUUUCGUAUUGCUUAUUAUAUAACUUAAUCAUAUCUCAAAUUAUAUGUUUACAGAACUUAAGCUAUCUAGCACUUGGUAUAUAUUAAUGUAUAAUUCUUUGACCAAUCUACUCUUACUACGUGGACGGCUGCGAGAUGGUAUGUAAUUGUUGCAUUUCAUUUCAGUUCACUUGCCGGGUAACAAAACUAUUCUCAUUUCCUUGUAAUUUUGUAUUGCUUAUUAUAUAAGUUGGAGUUCCGUUGCAUAAUUCGUCUGGUUGUACCUUUUUAGUAUUUUUAGUCGGAAGUACUGUUUGUGCCCAUGUGGACUUUCGUACCAGAGCUUGAGAAAUAAUGAAUGAGAUGGUAAAAAACCAACAACCACUUUAUCUCAUUUUUACUGUGUUUAGUAUCCUAUCCAUUUAUUUCGAAGAAUUGCUGCAUCGCGCGAGAUUUGCCUUGAAUUGUGUUAGACAGUUGAUGCUUGUAACUUUACUUUCCAUCGCGCGAGAUUUGCCUGAUUAGAACUGUGUGCUUUCUAUUAAGAUGUAAUAGUUUUCUUCUUUUGGGGGGAAUUCGAAAUAUACAUUUUAGAGGAGUCUGGGUGUUCAUGGUUUGGUUCACAUAAGCAUUUUAGUAUGCUAUUAAUAAAUCUCAUCUUUAUAUAGGAUUGGUUUGGUGUAAGUAAGUAUACUUGUUAAGAAACUAGGUGAGAUUGAUUUGUAAGAUGCCGGUCUUUAAUAAUAUUUGUUAAGCUUUUGUAUUAUUGCUGUGAACAUUGCAUUGUGAACUGAAACGUUGUACCUAGUGGUAAUGAUCGGUGUUAGGAAUAUACCUUACUCCGCACUCUACAAUUUUCGCCACGAAAACAGUGGUCCAGAUGCUGAUAUUUAGUAGUUGUAUUAGUCUCACUUCGGAUGUGAAAUAGCUAUUUAUUUAGUUUGAUGCAUUUCCGUUAGAAGGGCAAGUAGUAUUGUUAUGCAGUCCAUCAUUUUUAUGCAAAUUCAUUAACAUAUUUAUAGUCUCUAUCUUUUAAAGCCAGUUAAUGUUUAAUGAUGCUUGGAGCCUGUGAUUUUGUUUUCUGGAUUGAAUAUAUCAUUUUGGAUUUGUACGUAGGAGAUCUUUUUCCCAUUUAUUUUUGUGUGUACUAGUCUUGGUAACCUUAUGCGCCGAUAGCACCUUGGUUGGCAUAAAUUCUACUUGUUAAACAGUAAAUGAAAUGGUUGACCUGGACAUGGAUGUCUUUUAUGGUUAGGGUAGUAUUUUGGAAGAAAGGACGAAGGUCCUCCUUUUAGUACAAAGAAGUAGUAAUAGUACUGGUACUAAUAGAUAACAACUAAGGAUUAGAAUUUUGAGACUACAAUAAGACAGAAUUGUGUCUGCCAAUAAUCUUCCCAAUUUUAUGUAUUGUUUCAUUUUUCAAUGCUUUUUUAAAAUACAAUGAUAAGGUAUGAUAGUAUUCGCCUUAAUUAUUCUUGUCGUGGCGUGGGAUUUGAUUUUUCUCAAGUUAGUUCGAUGCUGUGUUAUUUCAACUUUAGAUACUGUUUUCGAUGUAGUAAGUUAGGGACAGUUGUGCAACGCAAUUCAUACUAUCUGCUGUUAGACAUAGUUGUUAAAGGCAGUUCAUAUUAUCUAAACGAAAGUGAAAAACUACGGUCGUGCUUGAUCCCUUCGAGCAACGUAGAGGGUACCUAGGCAGCCGAUAUGCGGUUCAACACAAAUCUACAGGGUUGUUCAUAUCAUCCGAAAGUCUUGGUUACUGCCUUGCAGUUCAUACCAUCAAUUCAGAGAUGAUUGCAACCUUGGCAAGUAUGUAUCAUUGGCAACUGGCCAAUGGUGGCUGGUAACCAGAACUUCCUUGACGUUGGGAACUGGCCGUGUGUUAGUUUUUGGCAACUGGUCGUCUGUGAAUUUUUGCAACUGGCCGUCUGUGAAUUUUUGGCAUUGGCCGUCUGUGAAUUUUUGGCAAUUUACCGGCUGUGAAUUUUGGCAACCGGCCGGCUGCGAAUUUUGGCAACCGGCCGGCUGUGAAUUUUGGCAACCGGCCGUCUGUGAAUUUUGGCAACCGGCCGUCUGUGAAUUUUGGCAACCGGCCGUCUGUGAAUUUUGGCAACUGGUCGUCUAUGAUUUUUGGUAAUUGGCCGUCUCUUAUUUUGGCAACUGGCCGACUCUUGUUACUUUUUUUGAAAAUUGGAACUCUCAUAAAAUUUUAUGAGUAUUAUGGUAUGGGACAUAUGCUCAUAGAAUUCUAACCUUGAGACCAAUGCGAUUUCUGUUCAGCAGGAUCUCAAGUUUGUUGUUUGGUAAGAAACGAUCCCUACCUACUAAUGUAAGGAUUUUAUUAAUGAACAUAACUUUUUUUACCUGC